This 3009-nucleotide ribosomal RNA is filed under the name Rodentibacter haemolyticus. RNAcentral's name for it is "Rodentibacter sp. DSM 111151 23S ribosomal RNA". It matches the Rfam family "Bacterial large subunit ribosomal RNA". The record is from RNAcentral. Lineage: Bacteria; Pseudomonadati; Pseudomonadota; Gammaproteobacteria; Pasteurellales; Pasteurellaceae.
AGUUAAGUGACUAAGCGUACAAGGUGGAUGCCUUGGCAAUCAGAGGCGAAGAAGGACGUGCUAAUCUGCGAAAAGCUCGGAUGAGUCGAUAAGAGGCGUAUAAUCCGAGAUAUCCGAAUGGGGAAACCCAGUAGAUGAAGAAUCUACUAUCUUAUUAUGAAUCCAUAGUAAUAAGAGGCAAACCGGGAGAACUGAAACAUCUAAGUACCCCGAGGAAAAGAAAUCAACCGAGAUUCCGUAAGUAGCGGCGAGCGAAAGCGGAGGAGCCGUCAGUGAUAGCAGUGUAUUAAGAAGAAUCAACUGGGAAGUUGAACGAAACAGGGUGAUAGUCCCGUAUUCGAAUAGUGCAUUGUGGUACUAGGCUGACAACAAGUAGGGCGGGACACGUGAUAUCCUGUCUGAAUAUGGGGGGACCAUCCUCCAAGGCUAAAUACUCCUGAUUGACCGAUAGUGAACCAGUACUGUGAAGGAAAGGCGAAAAGAACCCCGGCGAGGGGAGUGAAAUAGAACCUGAAACCUUGUACGUACAAGCAGUGGGAGCCCCAUCACUCAAUCGUAUUGAGUGGUAGCAAUUCCAAAGGAAAUAACCGCACUUUAAUGGUUAAUUUUUGCGAAGCAAAAAUUCAACCAUCCCCAAUAAGCAGUGGGAUUGAGUGAUGGGGUGACUGCGUACCUUUUGUAUAAUGGGUCAGCGACUUAUAUUUUGUAGCGAGGUUAACCGCAUAGGGGAGCCGAAGGGAAACCGAGUCUUAACUGGGCGAUAUAGUUGCAAGGUAUAGACCCGAAACCCGGUGAUCUAGCCAUGGGCAGGUUGAAGGUUGGGUAACACUAACUGGAGGACCGAACCGACUAAUGUUGAAAAAUUAGCGGAUGACUUGUGGCUGGGGGUGAAAGGCCAAUCAAACCGGGAGAUAGCUGGUUCUCCCCGAAAUCUAUUUAGGUAGAGCCUUGAGCGGACACCUUCGGGGGUAGAGCACUGUUUCGGCUAGGGGGCCAUCCCGGCUUACCAACCCGAUGCAAACUGCGAAUACCGAAGAGUGAUACUCAGGAGACACACGGCGGGUGCUAACGUCCGUCGUGGAGAGGGAAACAACCCAGACCGCCAGCUAAGGUCCCAAAGUUUAUAUUAAGUGGGAAACGAAGUGGGAAGGCUUAGACAGCUAGGAUGUUGGCUUAGAAGCAGCCACCAUUUAAAGAAAGCGUAAUAGCUCACUAGUCGAGUCGGCCUGCGCGGAAGAUGUAACGGGGCUCAAAUAUAGCACCGAAGCUGCGGCAUCAGGAUUUAUCCUGUUGGGUAGGGGAGCGUUGUGUAAGCGGAAGAAGGUGAAUCGAGAGGUUUGCUGGACGUAUCACAAGUGCGAAUGCUGACAUAAGUAACGAUAAAACGGGUGAAAAACCCGUUCGCCGGAAGACCAAGGUUUCCUGUCCAACGUUAAUCGGGGCAGGGUGAGUCGGCCCCUAAGGCGAGGCUGAAAAGCGUAGUCGAUGGGAAACGGGUUAAUAUUCCCGUACUUGGUAAAGCUGCGAUGUGGGGACGGAGCAGGUUAGGCAAGCAAGGUGUUGGAAAUCCUUGUUUAAGGUCGUAGGUGGGAAGUUUAGGCAAAUCCGGACAUCCUUAACACCGAGAGCUGAUGACGAUUGUCUACGGACAAGAAGUUGCCGAUACCACACUUCCAGGAAAAGCCACUAAGCUUCAGGCUUUACUAAACCGUACUGAAAACCGACACAGGUGGUCAGGUAGAGAAUACUCAGGCGCUUGAGAGAACUCGGGUGAAGGAACUAGGCAAAAUAGCACCGUAACUUCGGGAGAAGGUGCGCCGGCGUAGAUUGUAGUGAUUUACUCACGAAGGUUGAACCGGUCGAAGUGACCCGCUGGCUGCAACUGUUUAUUAAAAACACAGCACUCUGCAAACACGAAAGUGGACGUAUAGGGUGUGAUGCCUGCCCGGUGCUGGAAGGUUAAUUGAUGGUGUAAUCGCAAGAGAAGCACCUGAUCGAAGCCCCAGUAAACGGCGGCCGUAACUAUAACGGUCCUAAGGUAGCGAAAUUCCUUGUCGGGUAAGUUCCGACCUGCACGAAUGGCAUAAUGAUGGCCAGGCUGUCUCCACCCGAGACUCAGUGAAAUUGAAAUCGCCGUGAAGAUGCGGUGUACCCGCGGCUAGACGGAAAGACCCCGUGAACCUUUACUAUAGCUUGACACUGAACCUUGAAUUUUGAUGUGUAGGAUAGGUGGGAGACGUUGAAGCGGUAACGCCAGUUAUCGUGGAGUCGGCCUUGAAAUACCACCCUUUAACGUUUGAUGUUCUAACGAAGAAUCCGAAACGGGUUCUCGGACAGUGUCUGGUGGGUAGUUUGACUGGGGCGGUCUCCUCCCAAAGCGUAACGGAGGAGCACGAAGGUUUGCUAAUGACGGUCGGACAUCGUCAGGUUAGUGCAAUGGUAUAAGCAAGCUUAACUGCGAGACGGACAAGUCGAGCAGGUACGAAAGUAGGUCAUAGUGAUCCGGUGGUUCUGCAUGGAAGGGCCAUCGCUCAACGGAUAAAAGGUACUCCGGGGAUAACAGGCUGAUACCGCCCAAGAGUUCAUAUCGACGGCGGUGUUUGGCACCUCGAUGUCGGCUCAUCACAUCCUGGGGCUGAAGUAGGUCCCAAGGGUAUGGCUGUUCGCCAUUUAAAGUGGUACGCGAGCUGGGUUUAGAACGUCGUGAGACAGUUCGGUCCCUAUCUGCCGUGGGCGUUGGAGAAUUGAGAGGGGCUGCUCCUAGUACGAGAGGACCGGAGUGGACGCACCACUGGUGUACGGGUUGUGUCGCCAGACGCAUUGCCCGGUAGCUAAGUGCGGAAGAGAUAAGUGCUGAAAGCAUCUAAGCACGAAACUUGCCUCGAGAUGAGUUCUCCCAGUCUUUAAGACUGUAAGGGUUGUUUAAGACUAAGACGUAGAUAGGCACCAUGUGUAAGUGUUGCGAGACAUUGAGCUAAGGUGUACUAAUUGCCCGAGAGGCUUAACUAU